RNAcentral lists this ribosomal RNA (403 nucleotides) under uncultured bacterium. RNAcentral describes it as "bacterial SSU rRNA". It matches the Rfam family "Bacterial small subunit ribosomal RNA", at positions 355 to 774 of the family's 1533-position model. The record is from RNAcentral.
UAGGGAAUAUUGCAAAAUGGGCGAAAGCCCGAUGCAGCAACGCCGCGUGGGCGAUGAAGGCCUUCGGGUCGUAAAGCCCUUUUUGAGGGGAUGAGGAAGGACAGUACCCUCAGAAUAAGCCUCGGCUAACUACGUGCCAGCAGCCGCGGUAAAACGUAGGAGGCGAGCGUUAUCCGGAUUUACUGGGCGUAAAGCGCGUGCAGGCGGAUUGGAGAGUUGGAUGUGAAAGCUCCCGGCUUAACUGGGAGAGGUCGUUCAAUGCUUCCAGUCUUGAGUGCAGUAGAGGGAAGUGGAAUUCCGGGUGUAGUGGUGAAAUGCGUAGAUAUCCGGAGGAACACCAGUGGCGAAAGCGGCUUCCUGGACUGUAACUGACGCUCAGACGCGAAAGCUAGGGUAGCAAACG